UGGUGGGUUGCCUUGUCAGGUUGAUUCCGGUAACGAACGAGACCUCAGGGAGCUUGUUGGGUGGUGGGGGUGGUGCAUUCCACCCUCCCAUCUCCAAGCCCGACUCUUGGCGACUAGCCAAGGGAAGUUUGAGGCAAUAACA
RNAcentral lists this ribosomal RNA (142 nucleotides) under uncultured eukaryote. Its description in RNAcentral is "partial 18S ribosomal RNA". It matches the Rfam family "Eukaryotic small subunit ribosomal RNA", at positions 1299 to 1458 of the family's 1831-position model. The record is from RNAcentral.